AUUGAACGCUGGCGGCAGGCCUAACACAUGCAAGUCGAACGGUAACAGGAAGACGCUUGCUUCUUUGCUGACGAGUGGCGGACGGGUGAGUAAUGUCUGGGAAACUGCCUGAUGGAGGGGGAUAACUACUGGAAACGGUAGCUAAUACCGCAUAACGUCGCAAGACCAAAGAGGGGGACCUUCGGGCCUCUUGCCAUCGGAUGUGCCCAGAUGGGAUUAGCUAGUAGGUGGGGUAACGGCUCACCUAGGCGACGAUCCCUAGCGGGUCUGAGAGGAUGAGCAGCCACACUGGAACUGAGACGCGGUCCAGACUCCUACGGGAGGCAGCAGUGGGGAAUAUUGCACAAUGGGCGCAAGCCUGAUGCAGCCAUGCCGCGUGUAUGAAGAAGGCCUUCGGGUUGUAAAGUACUUUCAGCGGGGAGGAAGGGAGUAAAGUUAAUACCUUUGCUCAUUGACGUUACCCGCAGAAGAAGCACCGGCUAACUCCGUG
RNAcentral lists this ribosomal RNA (490 nucleotides) under uncultured bacterium. RNAcentral describes it as "partial 16S ribosomal RNA". It matches the Rfam family "Bacterial small subunit ribosomal RNA", at positions 30 to 507 of the family's 1533-position model. The record is from RNAcentral.